This 763-nucleotide ribosomal RNA is filed under the name Porpolomopsis calyptriformis. RNAcentral describes it as "eukaryotic LSU rRNA". The stretch from base 215 to 368 matches the Rfam family "5.8S ribosomal RNA". Lineage: Eukaryota; Fungi; Basidiomycota; Agaricomycetes; Agaricales; Hygrophoraceae. The record is from RNAcentral.
CUUGGGGGGUUGUUGCUGGUCCUUCUCUGAUGAGGGGGGCAAUUUGUGCACACCCUCUAUCUAUUUCCCUUCACACCCCCUUGUGCAUCUUGUGUAGGUUGACGCAAAGUCCAAUCUAUGUUUUUAUUUAUACCUUUGUUUUGAAUGGGAAUGUAAUUUUUUAAACCCUCAGUAAGCUCUCAUUUGGAGCUGAAAAGGAAAUAAAUAUGUAUACAACUUUCAACAACGGAUCUCUUGGCUCUCGCAUCGAUGAAGAACGCAGCGAAAUGCGAUAAGUAAUGUGAAUUGCAGAAUUCAGUGAAUCAUCGAAUCUUUGAACGCAUCUUGCGCUCCUUGGUAUUCCGAGGAGCAUGCCUGUUUGAGUGUCGUGAAGUUCUCAAACCCCUUUUCUUUAAGGAGGUUUGGAAUUUGGAGGUGUGUGCUUUUUUGUGAAGCUCCUCUAAAAUGUAUCAGUAAAAAACCCUGUCCCCCUCAAGAUGGUGUAAAGCUUGGUUUUGAUAAUGUUCUUUAUCUUUAUAAGCUAUAGCAAUUGCCUAAAGAGGUGGGGUUUCUUUGAAAAAAGAAUUGACACUUUUGACCUCAAAUCAGGUAGGACUACCCGCUGAACUUAAGCAUAUCAAUAAGCGGAGGAAAAGAAACUAACAAGGAUUCCCCUAGUAACUGCGAGUGAAGCGGGAAAAGCUCAAAUUUAAAAUCUGGUGGUCUCUGUGGCCAUCCGAGUUGUAAUCUAGAGAAGUGUGUUCAGUCCUGGACCGGNGUACAA